UGGCUCGUAGUGUAGAGGAAAGCAUAACACUCUGAUGAAGUGUUGGCGACAGUUCAAAUCUGUCCGAGCCGA
Molecule: transfer RNA, 72 nt
Filed under: archaeon
Lineage: Archaea
Also listed under: 1 other name
Description: tRNA-Ile
Rfam family: tRNA
About the family: Transfer RNA (tRNA) molecules are approximately 80 nucleotides in length. Their secondary structure includes four short double-helical elements and three loops (D, anti-codon, and T loops).
Source: RNAcentral